Molecule: ribosomal RNA, 518 nt
Filed under: uncultured bacterium
Lineage: Bacteria
Description: partial 16S ribosomal RNA
Rfam family: Bacterial small subunit ribosomal RNA
Source: RNAcentral
UGGGGAAUAUUGGACAAUGGGGGCAACCCUGAUCCAGCCAUGCCGCGUGAGUGAUGAAGGCCUUCGGGUUGUAAAGCUCUUUUGGCGGGGACGAUGAUGACGGUACCCGCAGAAUAAGCCCCGGCUAACUUCGUGCCAGCAGCCGCGGUAAGACGAAGGGGGCUAGCGUUGUUCGGAAUUACUGGGCGUAAAGCGAGUGUAGGCGGUUGCCGUAGUCAGGUGUGAAAGCCUUGAGCUCAACUCAAGAAAUGCACUUGAUACUGGGUGACUAGAGGACCGGAGAGGAUAGUGGAAUUCCCAGUGUAGUGGUGAAAUACGUAGAGAUUGGGAAGAACACCAGUGGCGAAGGCGGCUAUCUGGACGGUUACUGACGCUAAGACUCGAAAGCGUGGGGAGCAAACAGGAUUAGAUACCCUGGUAGUCCACGCCGUAAACGAUGGGUGCUAGACGUUGGCGAGCUUGCUCGUCAGUGUCGCAGCUAACGCGUUAAGCACCCCGCCUAGGGAGUACGGCCGCAA